AGUUAUUUAGCUUAAAAUUAAAGCAUAUAUUUUGAAAAUAUAAGAUAGAUUGUUUAAUAACUU
RNAcentral lists this transfer RNA (63 nucleotides) under Carinata rufipenna. RNAcentral describes it as "tRNA-Ser". It matches the Rfam family "tRNA". From Rfam's summary of the family: Transfer RNA (tRNA) molecules are approximately 80 nucleotides in length. Lineage: Eukaryota; Metazoa; Arthropoda; Insecta; Hemiptera; Cicadellidae. RNAcentral also lists the same sequence under 1 other name. The record is from RNAcentral.